GAUUUCUGGUUUAAUGCACCUGGCCCGCGGCCACUAGGCUUGUGAGUGCCGGCGCGCGUUUACCAUCCUUCUAGAAAACGAUUCUGCCAUUCACUUGGUUGGGAUCGCGAUCUAGAUCUUUUACUUGAAAAAAUUAGAGUGUUUAAAGCAGAAGUAAUGAUUGAUAGGGAUAGUUGGGGGUGCUAGUAUUGGCCGGCCAGGUGAAAUUCUUGGAUUCGGUCAAGACUAACUUAUGCGAAAGCAUUCACCAAG
This 252-nucleotide ribosomal RNA is filed under the name uncultured Sandonidae. Its description in RNAcentral is "partial 18S ribosomal RNA". The stretch from base 89 to 252 matches the Rfam family "Eukaryotic small subunit ribosomal RNA", at positions 799 to 962 of the family's 1831-position model. Lineage: Eukaryota; Cercozoa; Glissomonadida; Viridiraptoridae. The record is from RNAcentral.